AUCCAACUGACGAAUUCCAAAUAGGAUGAAACAUGUGUCAUGUAU
Molecule: non-coding RNA, 45 nt
Filed under: Schistosoma mattheei
Lineage: Eukaryota; Metazoa; Platyhelminthes; Trematoda; Strigeidida; Schistosomatidae
Source: RNAcentral